Molecule: ribosomal RNA, 487 nt
Filed under: Escherichia coli
Lineage: Bacteria; Pseudomonadati; Pseudomonadota; Gammaproteobacteria; Enterobacterales; Enterobacteriaceae
Description: partial 23S ribosomal RNA
Rfam family: Bacterial large subunit ribosomal RNA
Source: RNAcentral
UGGAAAGGCGUGCGAUACAGGGUGACAGCCCCGUACACAAAAAUGCACAUACUGUGAGCUCGAUGAGUAGGGCGGGACACGUGGUAUCCUGUCUGAAUAUGGGGGGACCAUCCUCCAAGGCUAAAUACUCCUGACUGACCGAUAGUGAACCAGUACCGUGAGGGAAAGGCGAAAAGAACCCCGGCGAGGGGAGUGAAAAAGAACCUGAAACCGUGUACGUACAAGCAGUGGGAGCCUCUUAAUGGGGUGACUGCGUACCUUUUGUAUAAUGGGUCAGCGACUUAUAUUCUGUAGCAAGGUUAACCGAAUAGGGGAGCCGAAGGGAAACCGAGUCUUAACUGGGCGUUAAGUUGCAGGGUAUAGACCCGAAACCCGGUGAUCUAGCCAUGGGCAGGUUGAAGGUUGGGUAACACUAACUGGAGGACCGAACCGACUAAUGUUGAAAAAUUAGCGGAUGACUUGUGGCUGGGGGUGAAAGGCCAAUCAA